CCUACGGGAGGCAGCAGUGAGGAAUAUUGGUCAAUGGCCGUAAGGCUGAACCAGCCAAGUAGCGUGAGGGAAGACUGCCCUAUGGGUUGUAAACCUCUUUUAUGCGGGGAUAAAGGUGUCCACGUGUGGAUGUUUGCAGGUACCGCAUGAAAAAGCAUCGGCUAACUCCGUGCCAGCAGCCGCGGUAAUACGGAGGAUGCGAGCGUUAUCCGGAUUUAUUGGGUUUAAAGGGUGCGUAGGCGGGCACUUAAGCCGGCGGUCAAAUGUCGGGGCUCAACCCCGGCCUGCCGUCGGAACUGGGUGCCUUGAGUGGGCGAGAAGUAUGCGGAAUGCGUGGUGUAGCGGUGAAAUGCAUAGAUAUCACGCAGAACCCCGAUUGCGAAGGCAGCAUACCGGCGCCCUACUGACGCUGAGGCACGAAAGUGCGGGUAUCGAACAGGAUUAAAUACCCGAGUAGUC
Molecule: ribosomal RNA, 459 nt
Filed under: uncultured bacterium
Lineage: Bacteria
Description: partial 16S ribosomal RNA
Rfam family: Bacterial small subunit ribosomal RNA
Source: RNAcentral